RNAcentral lists this transfer RNA (76 nucleotides) under Armatimonadetes bacterium CG2_30_66_41. Its description in RNAcentral is "tRNA-Thr". It matches the Rfam family "tRNA". From Rfam's summary of the family: Transfer RNA (tRNA) molecules are approximately 80 nucleotides in length. Their secondary structure includes four short double-helical elements and three loops (D, anti-codon, and T loops). Lineage: Bacteria; Bacillati; Armatimonadota. The record is from RNAcentral. RNAcentral also lists the same sequence under 6 other names.
GCCGGCGUAGCUCAGUCGGUAGAGCAACGCACUCGUAAUGCGUAGGUCGUCGGUUCGAAUCCGACCGCCGGCUCCA